UACUUACCAUUUUGGAAACACAGUAUCCGUAUCAUCCAGAGUCUGAGUCCACUGUGAUGCCUUUUGCCGCUUCACUCCAGAACUUCUUGUCACGUGCCAGGCCAAAUGCGUCUUCAUAUGUGUAUUUUGACGAAAAUGCACGAAUAAAAUGUUUCCUGUAUGUGCUAAAAGCUAUGUUUGGCGUAUAGGAAAAAACUUUCCAGAUAUUUGUCUUUACCUUUUGCAGGUAACACGGUCCAGACGCACCUGUGCAUGAUAACUCAGACCCAACAAACAUCUUGAACCUACAGCACUCACUGUUUUGCUACUUUCUUUUCCCUGAGGUCCACUUGCAGAGAAUAACAUGCAGAGCUGUAGGUGCUACACACAGCCAGAAACAGCACAAGACUUCAUGAUUUUUUAAGGAAUAACAGCAUCUGGCCGGCUUUCUUCUCUUUAUCUUUGUGGAUUGGCGGAAGAAGUUUCUGAACAACUAGCAAGGAGUGUCUGACAUCAGAAGUUCACUAAAUAAUGGUCUUGUUUCAGUAAAUGUUCUUACUGGACAUGGGGACGUUUUCUCUUCUUGAAGUUCCAGUGCCUUUUAUCUCAAAAGAUCAAGGAUUCUAGGCAAGGAUCGAGCCUUAGAACCUAAUGCCCGUCAACUUGCUCCCAGCACCAAUUUGUCAGUAGAAGGACUUUCUAAAACAGAGCUAUUCAUAUCGCCAUAACUCUUUCUCUCUCUAGGAGUAAUAGCACAGCCAUUGUUUGACUGAAAAUACUUAUUUUACAUUGUCUGGCCUGUUAUGUUGUCUGCUGCCCUGAUGUGAACCCCUGGGAGGGUGUCAAUGAUCUUACUCUGAUGUAAAGGCACUCAUGGUGCAUUAUGUAAGAGACUUGAUGAGUGGCAAUUUAAUUAGUGCAGCUGAAGCUGAUGGACAGCCACUUUUGCAUGGGUUUUGGUCUGAAUCUGACAUGGUGAGAGAGCAAGAUGGGCGUGAAAUACUUACGAGAUGGCUGAGGAUCGAUAGUGAAAAACAGACAUGAUUAUACAUAGAAAA
Cyprinus carpio (common carp) is the source of this 1037-nucleotide long non-coding RNA. RefSeq lists it as uncharacterized. The record is from RefSeq and is a predicted model, not a curated record. NCBI's taxonomy places the organism in Eukaryota, Metazoa, Chordata, Actinopteri, Cypriniformes, Cyprinidae. The transcript is spliced from 4 exons.